AUCUGAGCCUGACUCCAGUUGGUCUGGAAUCUCAGCUACAUUCCCGUUCACCCUGGCUCAUAAGAGCGGUGUUCUGAACUUGCAGCCAUUGUACACACCCCUGUCCCCUGUUUUUUGUAGUACUGGGGACUAAACCUAGGGCCUUGCUUGGAUGUGGUAGGCAAUGGCUUCAUCAAUGAACUACACACCAUCCCAUUUAUUUAUGUAUUUUUUACCUAGAAGUUUAGUUUAUUCCUCUAAACAAUACUUUUCUUUGGAAAACAAGCCCCGUGGAGUUUCUGCCAUCAAGUUACUUGAGUUUAACAUGCUUAUUUCUAGACGCCUAAUACACACAGAACUGAAACUACAGGGUAGAGUUUUAGAAAAGUAGAUCCUACAAAUGAAAACUCAAGCUAUUUUAACAAAUAUUCCUUUAAACAUCAACAUGUCUCAACACUUCAGAGACAAAAGAUUUGUUCUACUAAGGAAUCUGGUUUGAUAACUAAACACUUUAGACCUCACAAAAUUAACAGCAAGUUACAUCUUACCACAAACAUCUCAACCUGUUAAAAUAAACCAAGAUGAAACCAAAAAAUUCAUUGCUAGCUCUGCUUUAGUGCCUAAAGUAUCACAGCAUCUCUUAAAAGUAGAAAGAAAUCUUAUCUUCCCCUUAAGCAGUUAUCAGGACAUACAGAUUUAAAUGUUAACAAAAAAACCCUUGAAAAUAUAUAUUACCUAAGAAAUGGACUAAGCUCUGCCUGAUUCUUCAGCAGAACUUAGUCCAUUUCUUCCAUGCGUGACAUGUUGUUGUCAUCUCCUUCAAGGGGCGGCAUCUCUUCAGUGACAGCGGCAGUGGUGUAAUCAGCAGAGUGUGGUCUCCUCAGCGAUACGGAGACCCAGCUUGAUCAUCCUGUAAAUCCUGUUCACAUGGGUGUGGGGGUCUUCGAGACAAGCCAGAGGACAAGAGUGGAGUUUCCUAAAGCAAGAUGACCAGCUCCUUUACAGUCUCGUCAUUCUCGUCAGCCUCGGCCUUUUGCCUCAAGGUCAAAAGGACAAAAAGAAGUGGACAAAAAGAAGAGCUCUGAAUUCCAACUGUCCUUCAAUGGAAAAAUGCUUCACCACCAGGAAAUCCCAGUCAUCGAUCAAGCUCUUCCAGAACUAACUCUCCAUACUCCUCAUGCAGGAUAACCUUUGCUCCUCUGCCACGGAGUUCACCUUGUCAGUCCUCAUUGAAGGACCUGCCUGCUGAAGGUUCCAGGCAUACUGCUCAUCAUCGCUUUGCUUGGUGGUCACAGUCACUCUCUCAGCAACCAAGUGGAAACCCACACCUGACCGGCCAGUCAUGGAGUUGUCAGUGCCAACCUGCAAAGCCUCCAUGAAGGCCUUGGUCUCCAACUUGGUGAUGGUGCUGAAGUCAUCCAUCAAGUUAACCCUGGUCAUUCCGAUCCCAGUAUCCACGAUGCAGCUACCUUAGCAACAGCAUCUGUGCCAGGGUCCAAGAGGAAGCGGGGCACCACCUAUCACUACCCCCAGGGAGAGGUGACAAGCCUACAGGAAGAGCCGGCCUGGAAUCAGGAGGCCUGGGCUACUGCUUGUACUCUGCUGGCCAUUGGCUGCUGCCCGCCCCCCCUUCCAAAUCACUUCACCCUCUGCACAUAUUGUGAGGCCAAGGACUCUGCAGCUGGUUCAAGGAUGUUGCAGAGCACAGCCCUCUGCUUCCACUCUGGAUGGCCAUGGCACAGAAACUCCAUCAGGAAGCAGCCAUCCUUCAGCCAGUCUUCUGUGACUUAACGUUGUACUUGCCACCUGUGAUGCAGAAUGUUUGCUGACCAGGCAGAUGAUUAAGGUCCACAGGGCAAGUAAUUGGCAUGCCUGGCCUCUCCAGGAUGGAUAUUUCUGUGAGCAAUUAGAUGUCCCUGCAGUGGAGUAGGAGGUAAACUUGGCAUUGGUCCUUGAAGAAAGGAGACUGAGGUAGUAAAAAGUAAUUAUGAGCAGCUCAGCUCUACAAUUAUCUGUAAUAUUAUUAACAAUAAUAAAAGUAAUAUGUGGU
Molecule: long non-coding RNA, 2029 nt
Organism: Heterocephalus glaber (naked mole-rat)
Lineage: Eukaryota; Metazoa; Chordata; Mammalia; Rodentia; Bathyergidae
Source: Ensembl